UAUCUCUGUAGAGUCUGCAUAUCAAUAAGCGGAGGAAAAGAAACUAACUAGGAUUCCCUUAGUAACGGCGAGUGAAGCGGGAAGAGCUCAAAUUUGAAAUCUUCAAGGUUUUACCUUGACGAAUUGUAGUUUAAAGAAGUGUUUUCUGUUGGAAGUUUCGGUAAAAGUUCUUUGGAAUAGGACAUCAUAGAGGGUGAGAGUCCCGUAUUUGACCAUUAUUUCCAGCUUUGUGAUACACUUUCAAAGAGUCGGAUUGUUUGGGAAUGCAGUCCAAAGUGGGUGGUAAAUUUCAUCUAAAGCUAAAUACUGGCGAGAGACCGAUAGCGAACAAGUACCGUGAGGGAAAGAUGAAAAGAACUUUGAAAAGAGAGUUAAACAGUACGUGAAAUUGUCAAAAGGGAAGCGUUUGACACCAGUGUUGUUUUCUCGAAAAUCAAUUAAAAAAGGCAGGAUUUUGUGUUGUAUUGACUUUAUCAGCUUUCUGCACUCUUUUCUUGUCUUUUUUUAAUGCACUUUUCGUUUAACAAGUCAACAUCAAUUUCUUUUGUUGUAAAAGGGUCAUUGGAAGGUGGCUUUCUUUUCGGAGAAAGUGUUUAUAGCCUUCGGCCUCUGCAAUCGGAGAGAUUGAGGUCUGCAGCGUAGAUCCUUCGGGGUUAGAUACAUUUGUGCUAAGUUAUAGCCUUUCAUAGACAACUUGUUGACUAUGAUCAGUCAUGUAGCUUACUCGCUUAUGCUAUUUUACCUACGCUUAGGAUGUUGAAGAUGUAGCACAUCAU
RNAcentral lists this ribosomal RNA (776 nucleotides) under uncultured Neocallimastigales. RNAcentral's name for it is "partial large subunit ribosomal RNA". It matches the Rfam family "Eukaryotic large subunit ribosomal RNA", at positions 24 to 635 of the family's 3401-position model. The record is from RNAcentral. Lineage: Eukaryota; Fungi; Neocallimastigomycota; Neocallimastigomycetes; Neocallimastigales.